ACUUUAUUUGAUUUCCUUCGGGACUGAUAUUUUGUGACUGAGUGGCGGACGGGUGAGUAACGCGUGAGCAACCUGCCUUUCAGAGGGGGAUAACAGUUGGAAAUGACUGCUAAUACCGCAUAAGACCACGGAGCCGCAUGGCUCCGUGGGAAAAACUCCGGUGGUAUAAGAUGGACCCGCGUUGGAUUAGCUAGUUGGUGAGGUAACGGCCCACCAAGGCGACGAUCCAUAGCCGACCUGAGAGGGUGACCGGCCACAUUGGGACUGAGACACGGCCCAAACUCC
This 285-nucleotide ribosomal RNA is filed under the name uncultured Eubacteriales bacterium. RNAcentral's name for it is "uncultured Clostridiales bacterium partial 16S ribosomal RNA". The stretch from base 47 to 285 matches the Rfam family "Bacterial small subunit ribosomal RNA", at positions 100 to 339 of the family's 1533-position model. Lineage: Bacteria; Bacillati; Bacillota; Clostridia; Eubacteriales. The record is from RNAcentral.